This 57-nucleotide microRNA precursor is filed under the name Rattus norvegicus (Norway rat). Its description in RNAcentral is "Rno-Mir-506-P14_pre stem-loop". Lineage: Eukaryota; Metazoa; Chordata; Mammalia; Rodentia; Muridae. The record is from RNAcentral.
UAUUCAGAGUGGUAGCAGUCACUUUAUUCUAAAGUAACUGUGGCAUUUCUGAAUAGA